UCGGGAAUUUUGGGCAAUGGGCGAAAGCCUGACCCAGCAACGCCGCGUGAAGGAUGAAGUAUUUCGGUAUGUAAACUUCGAAAGAAUAGGAAGAAUAAAUGACGGUACUAUUUAUAAGGUCCGGCUAACUACGUGCCAGCAGCCGCGGUAAUACGUAGGGACCAAGCGUUGUUCGGAUUUACUGGGCGUAAAGGGCGCGUAGGCGGCAUGACAAGUCACUUGUGAAAUCUCUGGGCUUAACCCAGAACGGCCAAGUGAUACUGUCGCGCUAGAGUGCAGAAGGGGCAAUCGGAAUUCUUGGUGUAGCGGUGAAAUGCGUAGAGAUCGGGAGGAACAUCAGUGGCGAAGGCGGCCAUCUGGAUCAACACUGACGCUGAGGCACGAAAGCGUGGGGAGCAAACAGGAUUAGAUACCCGUGUAGUCCCUGAGCGGGCUGGCAAGGCGCAU
RNAcentral lists this ribosomal RNA (447 nucleotides) under uncultured bacterium. Its description in RNAcentral is "bacterial SSU rRNA". It matches the Rfam family "Bacterial small subunit ribosomal RNA", at positions 355 to 825 of the family's 1533-position model. The record is from RNAcentral.